Molecule: non-coding RNA, 434 nt
Organism: Ictalurus punctatus (channel catfish)
Lineage: Eukaryota; Metazoa; Chordata; Actinopteri; Siluriformes; Ictaluridae
Source: the annotation of a RefSeq genome assembly
AUGGAGGACAUGCUUCCACUCCCUUUUAUUUGAAUUCAGAGUACAGAAAAACACACCGAGUGUCACAGAGUGUCAACAUGUGUACUGUCCUCGUCAUAUUUUCUGCCACACUAUUGUUUCUACCAGGUUCUGGUGUUUGUUCUGUAGUCCAGAGUCCUCCUGAUGUCAUAAAAAAUCAAGACGAGUUUGCUGAGAUCAAAUGUGCACACACUGUAAACAGCUAUAAUCAAAUACUGUGGUACAAACACAGCCAGGACACAGGAUUUAAAUACGUGGGAUACCUUUCAAAUGCUUACCCAAAGCUAGAGGAAGAAUUUGAAACCAAAAUCAAACUGAGUGGUGAUGGGAGCAAAAACGGUUCUUUGAGCAUAAAGAGUCUUUCAGUGAAUGACAGUGCUGUGUAUUUCUGUGCAGCUUAUUACACAGUGCUGUAG